RNAcentral lists this ribosomal RNA (253 nucleotides) under uncultured bacterium. RNAcentral describes it as "partial 16S ribosomal RNA". It matches the Rfam family "Bacterial small subunit ribosomal RNA", at positions 524 to 776 of the family's 1533-position model. The record is from RNAcentral.
UACGGAGGGUGCAAGCGUUGUUCGGAAUUACUGGGCGUAAAGCGCGCGUAGGCGGCUUGAUAAGUUGGGAGUGAAAUCCCGGGGCUUAACUCCGGAAUUGCUUUCAAAACUAUCAAGCUAGAGUAUGGCAGGGGACAGUGGAAUUCCUAGUGUAGAGGUGAAAUUCGUAGAUAUUAGGAGGAACACCAGUGGCGAAAGCGACUGUCUGGACCAUUACUGACGCUGAGGCGCGAAAGCGUGGGGAGCAAACAGG